Molecule: ribosomal RNA, 462 nt
Filed under: uncultured bacterium
Lineage: Bacteria
Description: bacterial SSU rRNA
Rfam family: Bacterial small subunit ribosomal RNA
Source: RNAcentral
AUUGAACGCUGGCGGCAUGCCUUACACAUGCAAGUCGAACGGCAGCACGGGAGCUUGCUCCUGGUGGCGAGUGGCGAACGGGUGAGUAGAGCAUCGGAACGUGCCCUGAAGUGGGGGAUAACGUAGCGAAAGUUACGCUAAUACCGCAUAUUCUGUGAGCAGGAAAGCAGGGGACCGCAAGGCCUUGUGCUUUAGGAGCGGCCGAUGUCGGAUUAGCUAGUUGGUGAGGUAAAGGCUCACCAAGGCGACGAUCCGUAGCGGGUCUGAGAGGAUGAUCCGCCACACUGGGACUGAGACACGGCCCAGACUCCUACGGGAGGCAGCAGUGGGGAAUUUUGGACAAUGGGCGAAAGCCUGAUCCAGCAACGCCGCGUGCGCGAUGACGGCCUUCGGGUUGUAAAGCGCUUUUAGAGGAGAUGAGAAAGGACAGUAUCCUCAGAAUAAGCCUCGGCGAACUACGUG